Molecule: ribosomal RNA, 122 nt
Filed under: Vreelandella neptunia
Lineage: Bacteria; Pseudomonadati; Pseudomonadota; Gammaproteobacteria; Oceanospirillales; Halomonadaceae
Description: partial 23S ribosomal RNA
Rfam family: Bacterial large subunit ribosomal RNA (bases 1-102)
Source: RNAcentral
CUCCUAAAGGGCCCAGCAAGACCAGCUGGUUGAUAGGUCGGAUGUGGACGCGCUGCAAGGCGUUGAGCUAACCGAUACUAAUGGCCCGUGAGGCUUGACCCUAUAACACCCAAGGGGUUGGG